Procambarus clarkii (red swamp crayfish) is the source of this 882-nucleotide non-coding RNA. NCBI's taxonomy places the organism in Eukaryota, Metazoa, Arthropoda, Malacostraca, Decapoda, Cambaridae. The record is from RefSeq and is a predicted model, not a curated record.
UUUAUUAUUUAUGACUGAGGCCAUUUAUCUAUUUAAUCUAUUCUUGAAAUCUGUUAAUCUAUCUCAAUAAUGCUAGUCGGCAGCCCAUUCCACUCAUCCACUACUGUAUUUCAUAACCAGUAUUACCUUGUAUACCUCCUAAUGCUAAAUUUAUCCAGCUUGUUUCCAGUGUUGAGUAUAUUCUCAUUAUCCAUCCAUGGCAUGUGUGUGAUAGCUAACUGAUUGCCUCCUCCUGCUUGACUAACCAUCCUGUGAGGUGGGGAUCCUAGUCCCACACAGUUAGCUCAGGAACCUAACUGGGAUUGAGUUUCAGUUGUUACCUGCUAAACUGUAUGUCACACUGUGAUGACACAUACUGCAGUGUGAUAAAUGGUUCUGACUUUGAAUAAUUAACACCAUCACUGGUUGAAUAAAGUAGAAGAACCUCCGGGACUCACCUAGAAAAUGGCGUUUCAUUACAUUCAACGCUGGUUUUAUGAUAUUUACUUUAUAUUUGUGAAAAAAUAUAAUGGUUUUGGGGAUAUGUUGAGACAGCUGUAGGAUAACAGUACUCAGAACUCCACUCUCAUAUCACCUCUGUUUUCCAUAACUAAUACUAAUACAGUACAGUACAAUCUCAAUUCAACACACUAUAUGGGACCAACCCCAGUGCAUUGGAGCGUUGGAUUCGUUGCAAGAGGUGACCUUCAGAAGGCAUUUGUGUCAGUGUCUUUUCUUUUUCUUUUACACGAUAAAAAUGCAUUAUCAUAUUAUAUACUGUACCUAGAUAUUACUACUCUGCUAAAAAAUACUGUGUUACAUUUGUUAUUUAUCUUAUUGUUGGAGUUAUGUCCAUCGUGAAGUCUCAUGGAGUUGUGAAUGCUGUACAGUAAAUACGUACUG